AGAGCGAACGCUGGCGGCAGGCCUAACACAUGCAAGUCGAGCGCCCGUAGCAAUACGGGAGCGGCAGACGGGAUAGUAACACGUGGGAACGCGCCCUUCGGUUCGGAAUAACUCAGGGAAACUUGAGCUAAUACCGGAUACGCCCUUACGGGGAAAGAUUUAUUGCCGAAGGAACGGCCCGCGUCCGAUUAGCUAGUUGGUGAGGUAAUGGCUCACCAAGGCGACGAUCGGUAGCUGGUCUGAGAGGAUGACCAGCAUCACUGGGACUGAGACACGGCCCAGACUCCUACGGGAGGCAGCAGUGGGAAUAUUGGACAAUGGGCGCAAGCCUGAUCCAGCCAUGCCGCGUGGAUGAUGAAGGCCUUAGGGUUGUAAAGUCCUUUUAACGGGGAAGAUAAUGACGGUACCCGUAGAAUAAGCCCCGGCUAACUUCGCGCCAGCAGCCGC
RNAcentral lists this ribosomal RNA (447 nucleotides) under uncultured bacterium. RNAcentral's name for it is "SSU rRNA". It matches the Rfam family "Bacterial small subunit ribosomal RNA", at positions 26 to 518 of the family's 1533-position model. The record is from RNAcentral.